This 495-nucleotide ribosomal RNA is filed under the name uncultured bacterium. RNAcentral describes it as "partial 16S ribosomal RNA". It matches the Rfam family "Bacterial small subunit ribosomal RNA", at positions 28 to 507 of the family's 1533-position model. The record is from RNAcentral.
GACGAACGCUGGCGGCGUGCCUAAUACAUGCAAGUAGAACGCUGAAGGAGGAGCUUGCUCUUCUGGAUGAGUUGCGAACGGGUGAGUAACGCGUAGGUAACCUGCCUGGUAGCGGGGGAUAACUAUUGGAAACGAUAGCUAAUACCGCAUAAGAGUAGAUGUUGCAUGACAUUUGCUUAAAAGGUGCAAUUGCAUAACUACCAGAUGGACCUGCGUUGUAUUAGCUAGUUGGUGGGGUAACGGCUCACCAAGGCGACGAUACAUAGCCGACCUGAGAGGGGGAUCGGCCACACUGGGACUGAGACACGGCCCAGACUCCUACGGGAGGCAGCAGUAGGGAAUCUUCGGCAAUGGACGGAAGUCUGACCGAGCAACGCCGCGUGAGUGAAGAAGGUUUUCGGAUCGUAAAGCUCUGUUGUAAGAGAAGAACGAGUGUGAGAGUGGAAAGUUCACACUGUGACGGUAUCUUACCAGAAAGGGACGGCUAACUACGUG